RNAcentral lists this ribosomal RNA (253 nucleotides) under uncultured bacterium. RNAcentral describes it as "partial 16S ribosomal RNA". It matches the Rfam family "Bacterial small subunit ribosomal RNA", at positions 524 to 776 of the family's 1533-position model. The record is from RNAcentral.
UACGGAGGGGGCUAGCGUUGUUCGGAAUUACUGGGCGUAAAGCGGGUGUAGGCGGAUUGCUAAGUCGGGGGUGAAAGCCCAGGGCUCAACCCUGGAAUUGCCUUCGAUACUGGCAGUCUCGAGUACAGGAGAGGUGAGCGGAAUUCCGAGUGUAGAGGUGAAAUUCGUAGAUAUUCGGAGGAACACCAGAGGCGAAGGCGGCUCACUGGACUGUCCCUGACGCUGAGACCAGAAAGCGUGGGGAGCAAACAGG